This 511-nucleotide ribosomal RNA is filed under the name uncultured bacterium. RNAcentral describes it as "bacterial SSU rRNA". It matches the Rfam family "Bacterial small subunit ribosomal RNA", at positions 394 to 896 of the family's 1533-position model. The record is from RNAcentral.
CGACCGCGUGGGUGAUGAAGGUCUUCGGAAUUGUAAAACCCUGUCGGUGGGGAAGAACCGUGCAAGCGUAACUGCCUUGCACCUGACGGUACCCACAGAGGAAGUCCCGGCUAACUCCGUGCCAGCAACCGCGGUAAUACGGAGGGGACAAGCGUUGUUCGGAUUUACUGGGCGUAAAGGGCGCGUAGGCGGGCCUUCAAGUCGGCUGUGAAAUCUCUGAGCUUAACUCAGAGUCUGCACUCGAUACUGUAGGUCUUGAGUACCGGAGAGGAUGAUGGAAUUCCAGGUGUAGCGGUGAAAUGCGUAGAUAUCUGGAAGAACACCAGUAGCGAAGGCGGUCAUCUGGACGGAUACUGACGCUAAAGCGCGAAGGCUUGGGGAGCAAACAGGAUUAGAUACCCUGGUAGUCCAAGCGGUAAACUAUGGGCACUAGGUGUCGGAGGUAUCGACCCCUCCGGUGCCGCAGCUAACGCAUUAAGUGCCCCGCCUGGGGAGUACGAUCGCAAGAUUG